This 913-nucleotide ribosomal RNA is filed under the name uncultured archaeon. RNAcentral's name for it is "bacterial SSU rRNA". It matches the Rfam family "Archaeal small subunit ribosomal RNA", at positions 85 to 999 of the family's 1478-position model. The record is from RNAcentral.
ACGGCUCAGUAACACGUCGAUAAUCUGCCCUCAAGAAGGGGAUAAUCUCGGGAAACUGAGUGUAAUACCCUAUAAGAGAUUAAUAUUGCAAUAUUUUUUCUCUCAAAGCUUCGGCGCUUGAGGAUGAGUCGGCGGCGGAUUAGAUUGUUGGUAAGGUAAUGGCUUACCAAGUCUUUGAUCUGUACGGGCCGUGAGAGCGGUAGCCCGGAGAAGGACACUGAGAUACUGGUCCUAGCCCUACGGGGUGCAGCAGGCGCGGAACCUUUACAAUGUACGAAAGUGUGAUAAGGGGAUUCCAAGUGCUCAUGUUUAAACAUGGGCUUUUAUCAAGAGUAAAUAUCUUGGUGAAUAAGUGGUGGGUAAGACCAGUGCCAGCAGCCGCGGUAAUACCGGCGCCACAAGUGGCAACCAUUUUUAUUGGGCCUAAAGCAUUCGUAGCCGGUUUGAUAAAUUUUCUGUGAAAAUGUCUAGCUCAACUAGGCAAAUUGCAGAAAAGACUGUUAAACUAGAGACUGGGAGGGGUUAGAAGUAUUUCUGGGGGAGCGGUAAAAUGUGAUAAUCCUAGAAAGACUACCGAUGGCGAAGGCAUCUAACCAGAACAGUUCUGACGGUGAGGAAUGAAAGCCAGGGGAGCGAACCGGAUUAGAUACCCGAGUAGUCCUGGCUGUAAACGCUGCGAGCAAGAUGUUGUGUUUCCUUCGUGGAAAUGCAGUAUCGAAGCGAAGGCAUUAAGCUCGCCGCCUGGGAAGUAUAGUUGCAAGACCGAAACUUAAAGGAAUUGGCGGGGGAGCACUACAAGGGGUGCGGCGUGCGGUUUAAUCUAAUUCAACGCAGAGAAUCUCACCAGCAGCGACGGCAGAAUGAAAGUCAGGUUAAUGGCCUUACUAGACGAGCCGAGAGGAGGUGCAUGGCC